RNAcentral lists this ribosomal RNA (561 nucleotides) under Bipolaris oryzae. RNAcentral describes it as "eukaryotic LSU rRNA". The stretch from base 191 to 344 matches the Rfam family "5.8S ribosomal RNA". Lineage: Eukaryota; Fungi; Ascomycota; Dothideomycetes; Pleosporales; Pleosporaceae. The record is from RNAcentral.
UGCGGAGGGAUCAUUACACAACAAAAUAUGAAGGCCUGGCUUUCGCGGCCGGCUGAAGUAUUUUUUUCACCCAUGUCUUUUGCGCACUUGUUGUUUCCUGGGCGGGUUCGCCCGCCACCAGGACCAAACCAUAAACCUUUUUUUCUUAUGCAGUUUCCAUCAGCGUCAGUAAAAACAAUGUAAUUAUUACAACUUUCAACAACGGAUCUCUUGGUUCUGGCAUCGAUGAAGAACGCAGCGAAAUGCGAUACGUAGUGUGAAUUGCAGAAUUCAGUGAAUCAUCGAAUCUUUGAACGCACAUUGCGCCCUUUGGUAUUCCAAAGGGCAUGCCUGUUCGAGCGUCAUUUGUACCUUCAAGCUUUGCUUGGUGUUGGGCGUUUUUUUGUCUCCCUCUUUCUGGGAGACUCGCCUUAAAACGAUUGGCAGCCGGCCUACUGGUUUCGGAGCGCAGCACAUUUUUUGCGCUUUGUAUCAGGAGAAAAGGACGGUACUCCAUCAAGACUCUACAUUUUUCACUUUUGACCUCGGAUCAGGUAGGGAUACCCGCUGAACUUAAGCAUA